Macaca mulatta (Rhesus monkey) is the source of this 533-nucleotide non-coding RNA. Lineage: Eukaryota; Metazoa; Chordata; Mammalia; Primates; Cercopithecidae. The record is from RefSeq and is a predicted model, not a curated record.
UCCCUGCCUCACUCAACUGAGGACCUACCCUGGCCGCAGCCCGUCCUCAGCCCUCAGCAGAGCUGGGGCCUGGGCAGCUCGGCCGUCUUCUUCCAGAGGGGCUCAGACAUCCUCGGGCGCUGAGGGUCAUCCCAGGACCCAGUGUGUCCCAGCCCUUGAGGCUGAAGGACGGGGCUCUGGAGUGGAGAUGCAGAAAUCGAGGUAGUGGCCACUGACCGACGGGGCGGGAGAGAAGCCCUGGGGCCCAUGGGUCCCCACAUGUAACCGUAUGUCCUCUGUGCAGAGCUCGGGACACUGGUGCCAUCGUGUCCCCAUGUGUCACCUCAUGUCCUCUGCACAGAGCUUGGGACACUGGUGCCAUCAUGUCCCCACGUGUGACCUCAUGUCCUCUGCACAGAGCUUGGGGCUGUCCUCUCAUGGCCGCUCCUGGAUGGUCAGGCCCUGUGUUCCAGGCGGCUUUGACAGUGACUGUCCCCGGUGCUGCCGUCACUAACCCAGCCUAAGAGCAAUAAAGCCACCUGCCCUGGAGUGGA